Molecule: ribosomal RNA, 254 nt
Filed under: uncultured bacterium
Lineage: Bacteria
Description: partial 16S ribosomal RNA
Rfam family: Bacterial small subunit ribosomal RNA
Source: RNAcentral
UACGUAGGGGGCGAGCGUUGUCCGGAAUUAUUGGGCGUAAAGAGCGUGUAGGCGGUUCGGUAAGUCUGCCGUGAAAACCUGGGGCUCAACCCCGGGCGUGCGGUGGAUACUGCCGGGCUAGAGGGUGGUAGAGGCGAGUGGAAUUCCUGGUGUAGCGGUGAAAUGCGCAGAUAUCAGGAGGAACACCGAUGGCGAAGGCAGGUCUCUGGGCCACUACUGACGCUGAGAAGCGAAAGCAUGGGGGAGCGAACAGG